This 87-nucleotide transfer RNA is filed under the name Alphaproteobacteria bacterium. RNAcentral describes it as "tRNA-Leu". It matches the Rfam family "tRNA". From Rfam's summary of the family: Transfer RNA (tRNA) molecules are approximately 80 nucleotides in length. Their secondary structure includes four short double-helical elements and three loops (D, anti-codon, and T loops). Further hydrogen bonds mediate the characteristic L-shaped molecular structure. tRNAs have two regions of fundamental functional importance: the anti-codon, which is responsible for specific mRNA codon recognition, and the 3' end, to which the tRNAs corresponding amino acid is attached (by aminoacyl-tRNA synthetases). tRNAs cope with the degeneracy of the genetic code in two manners: having more than one tRNA (with a specific anti-codon) for a particular amino acid; and 'wobble' base-pairing, i.e. permitting non-standard base-pairing at the 3rd anti-codon position. Lineage: Bacteria; Pseudomonadati; Pseudomonadota; Alphaproteobacteria. RNAcentral also lists the same sequence under 1 other name. The record is from RNAcentral.
GCCCUCUUGGCGGAACUGGUAGACGCAACGGACUUAAAAUCCGUCGUUCGCGAGGACGUGCCGGUUCGAGUCCGGCAGAGGGCACCA